Molecule: long non-coding RNA, 690 nt
Organism: Helianthus annuus (common sunflower)
Lineage: Eukaryota; Viridiplantae; Streptophyta; Magnoliopsida; Asterales; Asteraceae
Exons: 4
Source: RefSeq, a predicted model, not a curated record
CUUUGUCUUUCCCACUAUUCCACCUUAUUUUCCCUAAAACCGUAGUGGCUCUGCUCUCCUAUACCAGUUGAGAAUGCUCGUCCCUCCAAAUUGAGUUUCACCACAAAUUUAUUUCACUGCUCUGAUUCGUAGAACAUCUUGCUAAUCCGAGGAAAGUUCGCCGAUCGACGGAGAUUCGUAAUAGUUUUAACAAGAACGAAUCAUGAUCAUAUUAAAGUCAGCAUGUUUACAAAUCGGCUUGUGGUUGAGUGAUGACUAUAGCGGCUUCCGGAAAGCAUACGAAAUUGACGAAAUUUAUAUUCGUAAUGUUGGCUUACUUGGAGUCAGCCUAAUUACAGAUCCACUUUGGGCUUCUUCCUCUUUAGAUCCCAAACUUUGAACCAGCCACCACCUAAAUCUUGUGCCCAUAUCUAGAAAUUAAACCAAGUAUGAUUCCCAAAUUGCGUUCAUAUUCUCAAGUUGACAGCUCUCAACAAUCCGUAGUGACAUCAAAGAGUUUGUUAAUCCAAGUAAUUUCUAUAGAUCAAGUUCCAAGUAUGAAUUGAAGAUGUCGGUAUGGAUUGCAAGUAUGAAGAUAUCGCUUUAGGAAGAAGAUACCGUUUAUUUAUUAAUUUCAUCUUUAGAGAUAUGUAUUUUGUGUUAUUUCAAAACUUUUGUAAUUUUAUGUUACUUUGAAACCUUUGUAACUUA